CCUACGGGAGGUAGCAGUGGGGGAUAUUGCACAAUGGGGGGAACCCUGAUGCAGCGACGCCGCGUGGGUGAAGGAGUGCUUCGGCAUGUAAAGCCCUAUCGGCAGGGAAGAAGCAAGACGGUACCUGACUAAGAAGCCCCGGCUAACUACGUGCCAGCAGCCGCGGUAAUACGUAGGGGGCGAGCGUUAUCCGGAUCCACUGGGUGUAAAGGGCGCGUAGACGGCCAAGCAAGCCAGGGGUGAAAGCCCGGGGCCCAACCCCGGGACUGCCCUUGGAACUGCAUGGCGGGAGUGCGGGAGGGGCAGGCGGAAUUCCUGGUGUAGCGGUGAAAUGCGUAGAUAUCAGGAGGAACACCGGCGGCGAAGGCGGCCUGCUGGACCGCGACUGACGUUGAGGCUCGAAAGCGUGGGGAGCGAACAGGAUUAGAUACCCCAGUAGUC
RNAcentral lists this ribosomal RNA (441 nucleotides) under uncultured bacterium. RNAcentral's name for it is "partial 16S ribosomal RNA". It matches the Rfam family "Bacterial small subunit ribosomal RNA", at positions 338 to 795 of the family's 1533-position model. The record is from RNAcentral.